ACAGGAGCUGGACUCUGGGAUGAAUCCAGCAUCAGAAAGGUGCUCCACGAGGACAAUUCCUGUGCUCCAGCCAGACCAGAUUGGAAAACCCAACCAGGUGUGCAAUAGGGAUGUGGGGCCCCCACGACCAGCUGGAGACCUGCUCCCAUUUGGCUUUCCCAUUACUUUCCAAUGUAGAUGGAGCCAUGUGACACCCGGAGUCCAUCAGCAGCAACACACCAGUUACGGAAAAGACUCCAAAACAUCACCAAAAAGAGGACUGGGCAAUACUGUGAAUUUCAAGUCUUUGAUGAACCAGCAUUCCAGUAACCCUGCCAGAUACAGAUACCACUGGUCUUAACUAGCACAGCCAGAGCUGAAGUUGCCAAGAACUCUGGAAAAAAAAAGGGAGGAAAACAAAGUCAGCUGACUGCAUGCCAAGGAGGGGAAAAACAGGUACCUCUGGAGCCCUCUCCACAUGAUGCUAUGGAGGGAAUUUUUUACCCUGUGGAGAAAUACCAGGGUAUUUCCUAUGGAAAUUCCCUAUGGAGAAAGCCGAAAGAAGCAGCUUCGACUCAACGCCCAGCUUUUAGAUGCCUAAACUGAGCUGACAGCAAUUCCUGUGCACAGGACUGCCCAGUGACGGGCUGUGUGUGAGGGACGCUGCUGCAGGGUACGGGCUGUUCCACCAGGGACCGCAGUUUGUUCAGUUUCUGGCAGAUAACAAGGAAGCAUCUCCUGAUCUGUAGCCGUCUGGGGAAUCCCUUUUCUAGAGGAAAGAGAAGUUGGGGAGGAAGAAGGUUGGUGGGCUGAGUCCUGAACCUGACCUAGAGCUGUGCCAAGAAAUCCAUGUGCUGUGUUUGAGUGCCCUGGGCCUUUGUAGCUUCAAACACCACAAUACAAAUGCCUGGUCUGUUGUGCUCGUGGAUGUGUUUAUGAUCACUUGGAGGAUAAAAUACAACACUUUUCCAUGAUGGAGACUCCAGUCCCAACCAAGAGAGCACAACCACGCCGGUGUAACACUCCUCCUGCAAACACACCACCACCCAGGUAAGAGUUCAUCUGACUGAAAUAUCCCUGAGGCAGCUGACAAGAAACCUUGAACUGCUUGAAUACAAAACCAGAUGCCUGUGUUCACUGUGGGGUGACCCUCUGCUCCAGCUCUCUGGAGCAGUGAGGCCAAGCAGUCCCAGGGCAGGCGGGAGACUCGGGAGCGCCGCCAGGCUGAUGGAGACCAGCGUUUGUCUGAGGAUUAUCCUCAGGCCCCUCAUCAUCACACUUUGGCUUGUUCUGCGUGGAUGGGGACUUGAUGACAAUUCCCUGAAAUUUCAAUUUGGAAGAAAGAGCUUCAUGUUUGACCUUUUCUCUCCAGCGCCGUGUCUGCCUGCCUUGCCCACAGGCUUCAGAUGGGUCCUGUUCCCUUCGGUUUAAGGUCCAGAUGAGCGAAAUGAGGAGAUCCCAUGUCGGCUGCAUGAGCGUUCUUGCCAUUGCCCGUGGCUGGAGUUGUGAGUUUUCUGUGUCAUGGACCAUCGUGAGAGAAAACCAUGUGCUGAGGGAGAAACCCAGCAAUGAAGGAGUAAAUAGCUGCUCUGAAGAUCAGCUUAUUAAGAGGCAGACAUCUGAAUGAACUCUUUUAAUUGUUAACUUAUAAGUUGGGAAUUUGUGAAAUGUGACAAAUAAGGAAGUAAUUGAGAAUGCCUGCUGCACUGAGAUCUGUCUCUGCCAACAUAUGCGUUCUCUGCUGUGGUGCUGUGGUAAUCCUGGUGUGGCACAGGCAGGACGAAGGAGGUGUGCAGGGGAAUAUCCACUGGAGCCAGAACGGCAGGGCCUUGAAAAUUCCAUAUGAGGAUCUCAGAGUAGAGUAAGACACCAUCAGGAGACUGGAACCUGUGCCAGCCUGCAGAGGCCUGUCCUCCAGCUGAGAACAGCUCAAGUGCAACGUGUGCUGGCCACGUGUCCUCCUGUGCCUUGUUCAUUUUUCCUUUGGGCCAAAAAGACAUGGGAAGAACCUGCCACCUCUGCCAGCUGUGCCAGAAAACUUCUUUCCUGAAGAAGUCGUGUGUGAUUGAUCUCUGAAGCAACUGCUGAGUUACAGUCCCACAAAUAACAUGGAAUUGCUGUCUGCUUGUGUUCUCUGGUAGUGAUUUUUUACCAGGAUUCUGUACCUGGCAACAGUAGCUCAGCCCAUCUCUGCGUGAAUCCAGUCCAGCUCUGAAUAUCUUGAACACUACGCACACAGAAAGAUUACUUAGAUGUUUAGGAUUUCUCUUCACAAAGCAGACGAUACAGAUGCUCAGGAAGAUUCAGUGAAAUGGUAGUGUAAUGAUAAAGAUUUGAUUGUGCUAGUCCACCAGUUUGUGAACUUUAAGGAAAAUACUUCAGAAAUCACAGCUUGGGAUUUCUUCCCUACAGAUUAUUUUAAACUGUGCCAUAAGCAGACAGAAGAUCUCCAGCAACAUAACUUUGUAGUAAGAAAAUGCCUUCAAGCUGUCCCAGAAGACAAGGGCUUUACACAGAGAUGUGUCCCCAAUGUACAGUUCCAUGGGGUUCAUGCCCAAGAACAUGGAAAAAUCCUUCUACUACUGCCCUCCUGGCCACCUUGGAGUACAGAAAGCAAGCAACCAGCUUAUACAACUGCAAAAUCUACUUAAAAGAAGGGAUUAUCAUGUUCCUUCCUCUCUGGGGAAAGGGAGAAAGACUGACCAGGAAAACAGGACUGAUAGUAAAUGUUUUGGGGUUUUUUUUUAAAUAAUUAAAUAUCUUACAUUCCCAUAAUGACUGCAUUGUUUUAUGAACUCAGAGGUAACAUUCAGAAAUCAUGACUGAUAGGAAAUGGUAAAAAAUUAUCAAAUCUGUUGCAUUCCCAGAAUCACUGCACUUUUUUUAUAAUCUCACAGAUUGAUAACAUUCCGAAAUCAUGACUGAUAGUAAAUGGAUUUUUUUAGAAAUGAUUAAAUCUGUUCCAUUCCCAGAAUUUUUUAAUCUCACAGAAACAUUCGGAAAUCAUGACUGAUAGUAAGUGAUAAAAGAUGAUUAAAUCUGUUCCAUUCCCUGAAUCACUGCAUUUUUUUAUAAUCUCACAGAUAAUGUUCAGAAAUCAUGACUGAUAAUAAAUGGGGUUUUGAAAAAAAAAAGUUUAAAUCUGUUCCAUUCCCAGAAUCACUACAUUUUUUCAUCAUUUCACAGGUAACAUUCAGAAAUCACAACUGAUAGAAAAUGUAUUUUUUUAAAUGAUAAAAUGUUACAUUCCUAUAAUCACUGCAUUUUUUUAUGAUCUCACAGGUAACAUUCAGAAAUCAUGACUGAUAGUAAAUGUAUUUUUUUAAUGAGAAAAUCUGUUACAUUCCCAUAAUCACUGCACUUUUUUAUGAUCUCACAGAUACCAUUCAGAAACCAUCACUGAUAGGAAAUAAUAAAAAACUAUCAAAUCUGUUACAUUCCCCUAAUCACUGCUUUUAUUUUCUGUAAUCUCGCAGAUCCCACUCAGAAAUCAUGACUGAAAGUAAAUGGUUUCUUGAAGAAAAGAUGAAGUCUUUUACAUUUCUGUAAUCCCUGUGCUUUUUUAAGAGUACCUCCAUAUAUGUUUAAUCUAUGAACACUAAACACAUUUUGCAGUAGUUUGAAAACAGUUCUGUUGAGACUUGCUGCAGUUUUUAAUAUAACUGUAGAUACCUAAUCUAGUGUCAUCUCUGUGUCACGUUGAUGGUGCUAGAAGAGCCUCUGGCACUUUUCUGAAAAGGCACCUAUUUGGGUUUAAAAUGAGUAUAUUUGAGGUCAUUAGGAAAGGAAAUUUCCAGCACUAAUUCUGCCCUAGCACAGGUUUUAGCAGAAAGAACAAACCAAAGAACAAAAGGAAACCCAACAACUGUGUUUGAUGAAUCCAUGUGCAAUAUUUUUGUUACAAUGAAAUAAAAGACCAGACACCUUGAAGUUGCUCUCCUGUGUUUAAUUCUUCUGAGCUACUUUUUAAAUUGAUCUCCCAGUACUUGGUCUCUUCCCACCCUUGUUAUUAAACUAACAAAAGCAGUUUAUACCACCACACUAUAAGCAAAGUAAUAAA
This is a long non-coding RNA of Lepidothrix coronata (blue-crowned manakin), 4039 nucleotides long. RefSeq lists it as uncharacterized. NCBI's taxonomy places the organism in Eukaryota, Metazoa, Chordata, Aves, Passeriformes, Pipridae. The transcript has 16 exons. The record is from RefSeq and is a predicted model, not a curated record.